Molecule: non-coding RNA, 20 nt
Filed under: Arabidopsis thaliana (thale cress)
Lineage: Eukaryota; Viridiplantae; Streptophyta; Magnoliopsida; Brassicales; Brassicaceae
Source: RNAcentral
UGAUGGCUAUGGCUGUUGGU